GUGCUAGUGAAACUGCCCUCAGAGCAGAAAUAAACUGUUGGCUCUCAAGUUUUUCCAGACUAACCGGACUGGCCAAUGCCUGAGGCUCUGUGUUCAAGAUAAAAGUGCCUAAGAAAGAAAAGUGCAGGUAGGCAGUCCCCACUUCUGCAGGGCUGGUGGGCUCUGGGGAUCCUGUCUCAGCCUGCUGAACAGCCCAGAGUGGCUUUAAAAAAAAAAAAAAAGCCUGAACAACCUUUUUUUGCACAUGGGUCACAGUCAAGCUUCUUAAACUUGGAUGACAGUAAACCUAUGACUAACUGGAUAAUUAAAGCCACAAGUCUGGAGGCCUGGGCAGGGCUCUGCUCUGGAAUCUCCGGUGGCCUGUUCCAUAGGCCAGCGUCCCUUGUCCUUCCCAUAGCAGAAAUGCUUUCGUGAGUUGGAAACCCUCUGUGGUGACCUCUACAUCUUCUCAAGGAAGCUGUGGACCGUGUUUAGCCUGUGGCUCUGUGUGCCCCUUGGCUGCUGCUGCUGCUUACUCCUGAGGGUGAAGUUGCUAACAUAAGAAACGAGAGAAAGAAUUGUGCCAUGAAAAAUGGAAAACUCCUGAGAAGCUGUUCCAGCGUCAGGAGAGCAGCAGACAAGCUGGACUGGGGAAGAUUCUUCCUGCAAGACCUGCAGAGUGUAUGACACAUAACCAGCACCCAAGAAAUGUCUACCGAGGAAUUAAUGAAUGAGGGUCCCAUACUUCCUAGCCAUGCUGUUGGCAGGGAUUAACAUCAUUGCAAUUCUCUGGGUAGACCUUGGGAGGUUUAAACCAACCAGUGACCCCUAUCAUCCUAGCUCCAGAGAUUGGCUUAGGGAUAGUCACCCAAUGCAGGCCAAUGCAAGGUGACUUUGCCAGGGGCUUCUGGGAAAGAAGUUUCCUUUCUCUGAGGAAAUGUGAAUGAGGACAUCCAUAACUCAGGUUGUGUCUGGCAGCCAUCUUGUGAUCAUCUGGCAAGACAGCCCAAGAAUAAAGCCGUCACCAUGGAGACUAAGAAGAGACAGAAAGACACUGGGUCUUCAUUGUCUCGUCCAGCUGUUCAUGAGGCCUUAUCUGAAGCCCACGUGACCUCCGGACUACUCACUUACAUGAGAGAAUAAAGCUCUUUUUUGUUUAGACCAAAUAAAUACAUAAUACAAUUA
Molecule: long non-coding RNA, 1164 nt
Filed under: Homo sapiens (human)
Lineage: Eukaryota; Metazoa; Chordata; Mammalia; Primates; Hominidae
Description: long intergenic non-protein coding RNA 1588
Source: RNAcentral